AUACGGAGGAUCCGAGCGUUAUCCGGAUUUAUUGGGUUUACAGGGUGCGCAGGAGGCCAUUUAAGUCAGCGGUUAAAUCGUGGGGCUCAACCCCAUUCUGACGUUGAUACUGGGUGGCUUGAUUGCGGUCGAGGUUGGCGGUAUUCGUUGUGUAGCGGUGAAAUGCAUAGAUAUGACGAAGAACACCGAGUGCGUAGGCAGCUGGCCAGACCGCAAAUGACGCUCAGACACGAAAGGGCGGGGAUCGAACAGGAUUAGAUAGCCUGGUAGUCCGCAGAAUAAACGAUGAAGACUUGUUUUCGGCGAUAUAAUGUCGGAGGCAAAGCGAAAACGAUAAGUAUUCCGCCUUGGGAGUACGCCGGCAACGGUGAAACUCAAAUGAAUUGACGGGG
Molecule: ribosomal RNA, 392 nt
Filed under: uncultured bacterium
Lineage: Bacteria
Description: partial 16S ribosomal RNA
Rfam family: Bacterial small subunit ribosomal RNA
Source: RNAcentral